This 465-nucleotide ribosomal RNA is filed under the name Vreelandella stevensii. RNAcentral's name for it is "partial 16S ribosomal RNA". It matches the Rfam family "Bacterial small subunit ribosomal RNA", at positions 338 to 795 of the family's 1533-position model. The record is from RNAcentral. Lineage: Bacteria; Pseudomonadati; Pseudomonadota; Gammaproteobacteria; Oceanospirillales; Halomonadaceae.
CCUACGGGGGGUAGCAGUGGGGAAUAUUGGACAAUGGGGGGAACCCUGAUCCAGCCAUGCCGCGUGUGUGAAGAAGGCCCUCGGGUUGUAAAGCACUUUCAGUGAGGAAGAACGCCUGGUGGUUAAUACCCAUCAGGAAAGACAUCACUCACAGAAGAAGCACCGGCUAACUCCGUGCCAGCAGCCGCGGUAAUACGGAGGGUGCGAGCGUUAAUCGGAAUUACUGGGCGUAAAGCGCGCGUAGGUGGCUUGAUAAGCCGGUUGUGAAAGCCCCGGGCUCAACCUGGGAACGGCAUCCGGAACUGUCAAGCUAGAGUGCAGGAGAGGAAGGUAGAAUUCCCGGUGUAGCGGUGAAAUGCGUAGAGAUCGAGAGGAAUACCAGUGGCGAAGGCGGCCUUCUGGACUGACACUGACACUGAGGUGCGAAAGCGUGGGUAGCAAACAGGAUUAGAUACCCCGGUAGUC